UGUUAUUGUUGGUACCAAUGUUUAAACCGUCUUCACUUGGCAAGGAAAGAAGAACAAACAUAUGUCUUUUACUGUGAUAUGAUUAGUUUGUUGAAAGUUUUCAUAUUCUUUCCAAGUAAUAAUAGUCUACUGUAUUUUCCAAUUGGUAAACAAGACCGUGCCAUUCGUGGUUAUUUGUCCAAUAUGCAGAUGUUUCGUAUUUAUUUAGCAUGUACAGGUAGUGUCCAUUGUUGGCCAUCAUAUUGUCCAAUAGCUUGUUAGGUUACUGUACAUAUGAAGGUAUGUAAUAUCUUGAUAUAGUAGACAUAGUGUACAAUUGUUCCUGAUAUCCAUAUGGUACUGUAGAUUGGAAACAAGUACAGUAAUUCAAUAAUACAUAGCAGAUUCCAUAUCCCAUUGCAUUAGAUGUAUUGUAAUAUAUCCAAUCUUGUAAAUCAUUCUUGUUUUAAUAGAAAUACAUUUCUGUUAAUCCAGAAGCUCCCAUCCAUUUUCAUGAGAUGUACAGUAACAUAUCCAUAUUAUAUUUUGGCUGUAACAACCAUUUAGUUUCAUCCAGCAGUUAACAUGGCACCAUUCACAUCCAUCAGAAUUGCAAAACUAUAGAAAAAAAUAAUUGGAAGCAUGAGAUAUUUAUGUGGAAACAGUGGCACAUAACUGAGUCAAAAUAAAAGUAGGGCAGGGGGAGGGGUUAAACAAACAAAAAAACUUACCUUUCUUCUGUCUUGCAAAUCAUAAUACUUUCAUACAUACAGUGACAACAAGGAGUAAAUUAUUUAUUAUAUAAUAAAUUAAAUUAAAAGGGUAUAUAGUCAAACUACAUACCAAAC
This is a non-coding RNA of Paramuricea clavata, 827 nucleotides long. Lineage: Eukaryota; Metazoa; Cnidaria; Anthozoa; Malacalcyonacea; Plexauridae. The record is from the annotation of a GenBank genome assembly.